RNAcentral lists this ribosomal RNA (1561 nucleotides) under uncultured Neocallimastigales. RNAcentral describes it as "partial large subunit ribosomal RNA". The stretch from base 769 to 1561 matches the Rfam family "Eukaryotic large subunit ribosomal RNA", at positions 1 to 647 of the family's 3401-position model. The record is from RNAcentral. Lineage: Eukaryota; Fungi; Neocallimastigomycota; Neocallimastigomycetes; Neocallimastigales.
CGCAUCUGUGCAUGCAGCAUAUCAAUAAGCGGAGGAAAAGAAACUAACAAGGAUUCCCCUAGUAACGGCGAGUGAAGCGGGAAGAGCUCAAAUUUGAAAUCUUAAAGGGUUUCCCUUUACGAAUUGUAGUUUAAAGAAGUGUUUUCUGUUGAAGUUUUGGUAAAAGUUCUUUGGAAUAGGACAUCAUAGAGGGUGAGAAUCCCGUAUUUGACCAUUAUUUUCAGCUGUGUGAUACACUUUCAAAGAGUCGGAUUGUUUGGGAAUGCAGUCCAAAAUGGGUGGUAAAUUUCAUCUAAAGCUAAAUAUUGGCGAGAGACCGAUAGCGAACAAGUACCGUGAGGGAAAGAUGAAAAGAACUUUGAAAAGAGAGUUAAACAGUACGUGAAAUUGUCAAAAGGGAAGCGUUUGACACCAGUGUCGUUUUUCUGAAAAUCAAUUAAAGAACUGUUUAUGCUAAGUUGUUUAGACUUUAUCAGCUAAUCUGCUUAGUUUUGAGCUUUUCUUUAAUGCACUUUUCAGUUAACAAGUCAACAUCAAUUUCUUUUGCUGUAAAAAAGCUUGAGGAAGGUGGCUUGAGAUUCGUCUUAAGUGUUUAUAGCCUCUUGCCUAUGCAGUCGGAGAGAUUGAGGUCUGCAGCGUAGAUCCUUCGGGGCUAAAUGCAUUUGUGCUAAGUUAUAGCAUUUUAUAGACAACUUGUUGACUAUGAUUUGUCUUGUAGCUUACUCGCUUAUGUUAUUUUACCUACGCUUAGGAUGUUGACGAGACUGUCGAUCUCAUCUAUACAUGACUCUGUGCAUGCAGCAUAUCAAUAAGCGGAGGAAAAGAAACUAACAAGGAUUCCCCUAGUAACGGCGAGUGAAGCGGGAAGAGCUCAAAUUUGAAAUCUUAAAGGGUUUCCCUUUACGAAUUGUAGUUUAAAGAAAUGUUUUCUGUUGAAGGUUUUGGUAAAAGUUCUUUGGAAUAGGACAUCAUAGAGGGUGAGAAUCCCGUAUUUGACCUUUACUUUCAACUUUGUGAUACACUUUCAAAGAGUCGGAUUGUUUGGGAAUGCAGUCCAAAAUGGGUGGUAAAUUUCAUCUAAAGGCUAAAUAUUGGCGAGAGACCGAUAGCGAACAAGUACCGUGAGGGAAAGAUGAAAAGAACUUUGAAAAGAGAGUUAAACAGUACGUGAAAUUGUCAAAAGGGAAGCGUUUGACACCAGUGUUGUUUUUCUGAAAAUCAAUUAAGGAACUGUUUAUGCUAAGUUGUUUAGACUUUAUCAGCUAAUCUGCUUAGUUUUGAGCUUUUCUUUAAUGCACUUUUCAGUUAACAAGUCAACAUCAAUUUCUUUUGCUGUAAAAAAGCUUGAGGAAGGUGGCUUGAGAUUCGUCUUAAGUGUUUAUAGCCUCUUGCCUAUGCAGUCGGAGAGAUUGAGGUCUGCAGCGUAGAUCCUUCGGGGCUAAAUGCAUUUGUGCUAAGUUAUAGCAUUUUAUAGACAACUUGUUGACUAUGAUUUGUCUUGUAGCUUACUCGCUUAUGUUAUUUUACCUACGCUUAGGAUGUUGACGAGACUGUCGAUCUC